RNAcentral lists this ribosomal RNA (388 nucleotides) under uncultured Leptolinea sp. RNAcentral's name for it is "bacterial SSU rRNA". It matches the Rfam family "Bacterial small subunit ribosomal RNA", at positions 984 to 1382 of the family's 1533-position model. Lineage: Bacteria; Bacillati; Chloroflexota; Anaerolineae; Anaerolineales; Anaerolineaceae. The record is from RNAcentral.
ACAUGCAAGUGGUAGGAAAGCCGAAAGGUGACCGGACCCUUCGGGGAGGCUUGCACAGGUGCUGCAUGGCUGUCGUCAGCUCGUGUCGUGAGAUGUUCGGUUAAGUCCGCUAACGAGCGCAACCCUCGCUGUGUGUUAUAUGUGUCACACGGGACUGCCGGUCUUAAGCCGGAGGAAGGUGGGGAUGAUGUCAAGUCAGCAUGGCCUUUAUAUCCUGGGCUACACACACGCUACAAUGGCCAACACAAUAGGUUGCUAAGCCGCGAGGUGGCGCCAAUCCAUAAAGUUGGUCUCAGUUCAGAUUGUAGGCUGCAACCCGCCUGCAUGAAGAUGGAGUUGCUAGUAACCGCAGGUCAGCUAUGCUGCGGUGAAUACGUUCCCGGGGCUU